UACAGAGGUCCCGAGCGUUGUUCGGAUUCAUUGGGCGUAAAGGGUGCGUAGGCGGCGGGGCAAGUCUGAUGUGAAAUCCCGGGGCUCAACCCCGGAACUGCAUUGGAUACUGCCUUGCUAGAGUACUGGAGAGGGAAGCGGAAUUCCGGGUGUAGCGGUGAAAUGCGUAGAUAUCCGGAGGAACACCGGUGGCGAAGGCGGCUUCCUGGACCGACACUGACGCUGAGGCGCGAAAGCUAGGGGAGCAAACGGG
RNAcentral lists this ribosomal RNA (253 nucleotides) under uncultured bacterium. Its description in RNAcentral is "partial 16S ribosomal RNA". It matches the Rfam family "Bacterial small subunit ribosomal RNA", at positions 524 to 776 of the family's 1533-position model. The record is from RNAcentral.